GCGCCCGUAGCUCAGCUUGGCAAACUUUGCUACUCCAAAGUUUGAUCAAAAGAGGUCUGUGACGAAGUUUGAGCAAAUAGAGCACUUCUCUCCUAAGGAAGGGGCCGCGCGUUCGAAUCGCGCCGGGCGCG
This 131-nucleotide transfer RNA is filed under the name Candidatus Aenigmatarchaeota archaeon. RNAcentral describes it as "tRNA-Arg". Lineage: Archaea; Nanobdellati; Candidatus Aenigmatarchaeota. The record is from RNAcentral.